AAACCAAUCCAGCCUCGUGCUUGGGUCUUGGGCCUUUGCUUCGGCGGCCUAAAUCAGUGGCGGUGCCGGCUGGCUCUAAGCGUAGUAAUACUCCUCGCUAUAGACGUCCGCCGGUAGCUUGCCAACAACCCCCAAUUUUAUAAGG
This 145-nucleotide ribosomal RNA is filed under the name Gloeotinia granigena. RNAcentral's name for it is "ITS2 ribosomal RNA". Lineage: Eukaryota; Fungi; Ascomycota; Leotiomycetes; Helotiales. The record is from RNAcentral.